RNAcentral lists this ribosomal RNA (465 nucleotides) under uncultured bacterium. RNAcentral's name for it is "partial 16S ribosomal RNA". It matches the Rfam family "Bacterial small subunit ribosomal RNA", at positions 28 to 507 of the family's 1533-position model. The record is from RNAcentral.
GACGAACGCUGGCGGCGUGCUUAACACAUGCAAGUCGAGCGAGGCCCCUCCUCCGGGGGGGUGUCCUAGCGGCGAACGGGUGAGUAACACGUGGGCAACCUCCCCUCAGCUCUGGGAUAACUCCGGGAAACCGGGGCUAAUAUCGGAUACGACCUCCCCUGCCACAUGCGGAGGUGGAGAGUUUUUCGGCUGAGGAUGGGCCCGCGGCCUAUCAGCUAGUUGGUGGGGUAGUGGCCCACCAAGGCGACGACGGGUAGCCGGCCUGAGAGGGCGACCGGCCACACUGGGACUGAGACACGGCCCAGACUCCUACGGGAGGCAGCAGUGGGGAAUAUUGCGCAAUGGGCGGAAGCCUGACGCAGCAACGCCGCGUGCGGGACGAAGGCCUUCGGGUUGUAAACCGCUUUCGGCAGGGACGAAGCGAGAGUGACGGUACCUGCUGAAGAAGCACCGGCCAACUACGUG